CAGGCCCUGGGCCACUGCAAAUCACAGGGCCAGGAAAGCUGAAAAAGUUCAUCCAUCAGGAAGCCCAAAAGCCAGUUGUUACAAAAGCACGCGGCAGCUUUCUGGUUUCUGUAUCCGUCCUGUAAACCGAGCAUUCCUUUCCACCUCUUGCGCACUGAGCCGGGUGUCAUCUGCCGUACACAGUGAAUGACAGCUUUGAGUCUCUCCUUCAUUGGCGGGACCGAGCAGUUUCUGGGCCCAUCUGCGAGGCUUCUUAGGAUGAAGAUAUCAGCCUUGGAGCACUCUGUGUGUUCCUGCUGCACACCGAGCACCCUCAGUGUGGGUCCUUUUCCUUUACAUUCCUUGCGUUCCUAAAGAUAACUGCUGGCCUGGAAUCACUGGGUCUCACAUUCUCUUACUUGAAACUGACUGUGUG
Molecule: long non-coding RNA, 415 nt
Filed under: Heterocephalus glaber (naked mole-rat)
Lineage: Eukaryota; Metazoa; Chordata; Mammalia; Rodentia; Bathyergidae
Description: lncRNA (ENSHGLG00100046547.1)
Source: RNAcentral